CAACUUACCAUUAUUUUUCUUACUAAUUUAGUGGUAUAAAAUGGGUCGAGUACCUCGUCAGUUCAUGGGCCCAGCUCAUUUUGAUCAUGUUCUGUUGACACAUAAAAAUUCAGCCCAAAUCGAACAGCCCAAGGAAUGAAGCCCAAUUGGAAGAUCCCCAAAUCAGAUAGCUCAAAGAACGAAGCCCAAUCAAACAAAUCAAGAUGAAGGCCCAAAUAAGGAGGCCCAAGAACGCGGUAACGCCAUCGCCCAAGUUUGCAAGUCGCCCAGAAUCUGAGCGAAUGGAGUGUCAUACAGUCGCCCAGAACUGUUACUCUAUUCUCGUCCAAACCUUCAAGUCGCCCAAGGUCUUAACAAACAUAAAGCGUCGUGGUUAUCAAGAAGUGCAGUUAUCAAAGCAAUUAUUGAAGCAGCCCUAUCACGUUCCACGAUUCAAGGAAUUCAAUCGAAAGCGGUUGAACGAUGAAGGAUAAUGGCAGCAGUUAAAAAGCAGUUUUCAUGACAAAGUGGCCAUUACGAAGAAAGUGGGUAGUUAUAGGACGAUCAAGCAGUUUUUAGAGUAGUUGAUCACAAAGAGAUCGUCUAUGAAGUAUAAAAGGGAGAAAGGACAUAGAAGCAAAUGACCGAAUCCAAAACUCUCGAACAAAGAACAUGUAAUUUUCAUUUCUUUAGUUUUUAGAUUUAAACACUUUCCUUUCAAUAACUCGUGUGCUUGCGCCCCUUGGAG
This 727-nucleotide long non-coding RNA is filed under the name Olea europaea subsp. europaea. Lineage: Eukaryota; Viridiplantae; Streptophyta; Magnoliopsida; Lamiales; Oleaceae. The record is from RNAcentral.